AAGAUUCUAAUCCAGAUUCAGAAGAGGAGCUGACUGGCCUCUGGCAAGCCCAAGCUGGAUUACCAGCUGCGGAGGCAGAGGUGCCUGAGGUUUCCCAGCCCCCAGGCCAGAGGAGGCUGCUACACCCACUUCCCCCACGAAGCUGGGGCCCAGGCCAGAGAGAGAGCCCCAAAGCUGGUUUGGGGGCGGGGAGCUUCCCUACAGGCCCUGGAGCCCCAUAGGCCCCAAGACAAAGCAAGAGGAAUGAGAGGAAGCACAGCCGGGUCAAAGCUCCGAGCCACGAGUACUGAGGCAGGUGGUGGUACCCAGACCCCCUCUCCAUAGCUCCCAUGAGAGCACAAGGCGGAGGAGAGGACAGACUCCUGGCCUGAGGGGCCAAGCACCAGCUUCUCAGCCAGCUCUGCCACUGACUUGCUGCUUGGCAAGUCACUUAACUGUUCCAAGCCUCAGUUUUCACUUCUGGAAAUGGGGAUAUGACCCCCUGCCUGCCCCCUCAUGCUGGCAUAAGAAUCAAUGACCUGUGACAGGACUUUGUAAAUUAUAAGUUGGUAUUAGUUAGGCCUCUUUAGUCACAAAUGUGAGAAACUGACAUUAAAUGAGGCAAUGCAAAAGGGGGAUUCACCAGCUCAGAGGCCCAAGACCCAGGGCAGGGAGAGGAGGCGCUGUCAUUCCCUCUCACCCCUGCAUCUCUCUGCAAGUCAGUCUCUUCUUCCGCAAGCCUGGAGCCAACUUCACCUCCUAAGAGGAGCUUCUCUGCUCUGUCACUACCAACUUGAACAACCACAGGGAGGGCCCUGAAUUGUGUCACAUGUCCACCCAUGGCUGUGAGACACUAUCUUAUGCAGCUUCUUCUGGAAGCUUCUUAUUUUGAUUGUUGGCAUCAGCAUUAUAAGUUUGCCACAUUUUCCUGAUUCCUAUCCUCCUUGGACAAAAUAACAUAGGGGCUAAGGGCACAGGCUCUGGAACCCAGAUUACCUGGAUUCAAGUUCUGGUUCUGCCAUUUUCUCACUGUGUAACGUUGGGCAAGUCGCUUAACUUCUCUGCACCUCAGUUCAUAAAUCUGUGAAAACUAAAUGAGUUGAUACAUGGGAAGUAUGAACAAUUGUGCCUGGUGCCGGCCAGGGGUUCAACAAAUGUUAAUCAUUAUUAUUGUCGGAGAAUGAAGGGGCAGUGCCUGGGAAUCCCAGGAUGAGAGACAGCCUGAAGAAAAACCAUCCUGCUCCACCUACUCCUCAACCUUCUUCCGGGGAGAGCUGACAACUGCAGGAGCUAUGGCUCAACAAAGAUGUACAGAGCUAUGCAGUAAGCCCUGAGAAUUACAAAACUUGACAGACAAAGUCGCUUUUUCUCCAGAAGCUCAUUGCCAAGUAAGGGAGAUAGAAGCAUGAAGAGAUCAUUUCUAUCCUGUGCUGGAUAGAAGCGUGUGUAUGUCUCUGUGGGAAGCCACAGUGGGACAACUGGUCCAGAGAGAGCUGCCUGGAAGAAAUGACACCUGAGCUAAGGCCUGGAGCAGGGGCAAGAGCUUGCCAAGCAAGGAAAGGAGGGCAGGGCGUUGUGCUGUCCAUUGGCUAUUCAGUCUCGGCUCCAGAUCUCCACUUGUCAGGUUGGCGCUACUGGGGCUUGAUCUGUGCAAAUUACAUGUCCCCAGGUCAGCUGGUUCUGGCAGGUUCUUCCAAUAGGGGGCACUAGGAGACUGAGGUCAGGAGGAGAGAAGGCACUUGCUCUUUUGUGCUUGCUUGCUUCUCCCCAGCAAGCUUUUUGCCGCAGAAGCAUCCACUGAAGCCUCCAGCUUUCUUCAGCCUCAGCAGCUGGAAGCCAUGUGAAGCAGCUGACAAACAGCUGGAGGCUGAGAUGCCUGCUGUGGGGGGAGCAACAGUUUAAACCAGUGAGCAUGUAGCAUCGGAAAGCUUCCCGAUGGAUGAUAGAUUUGGUGUCAGAAGUGAGAAUACAGAGUAAAACUUCAGCAACCCCCAGGAACACCAGGGAACCAGACCAGAUACCUGCGAAGCCAGCUGUGCCCACUGAUUUCUUGUUUGUAACUGGAGGUCGUGGCUGAAUUUUCUCUCAGAUUCCAAGAUCCAAGAAUUUGUGUUCUCAGCUCUCCAAGUUUGUUUGAGCAAUCUUUGGACUGGGCUGGGUUUGGGAUUGGAUUGGAUUCAAUAAUCAACCGGAUUAGAUUCAGUUAGAGGCUGAGGGCCUCAGAAAGCUAUAUUUAAAAGGGGGCUGAUACUGCUGUUUUCUAAGAUACUGCCACCAGAUACGUUAAGGAAAUCUCUCAAGAGAAAGGAACAGAUGACAUGUCUAUGGGAGCAACUGACAGUUGGUUUGUAAGCAUCCCGAAUGGUGAAUGGCAAGCUUGGCUUUUUCCAAGGUUUUCUAAAGUAUAAAUUUCUUCCCUUAGGUCUCCAGGUUAUUAUGACUUGUGUUACCAGGUAACAACAAAAAUGGCCUUUUAAAAUCAGGCCAUUUUACAGCAAACUAUAGUUCUUAAUCAUCACCAAAUCCUGCACCAAGGACUAUGCCCAACUAGAGUCAAAUAUUGUUAAACUGCCUAUAUUGUCUGAACUUUGACCUGUUUGAUUUGGUUAGGUUCGUUGAGUUCAUUUCUUAGAACUUGUUGAGGAGUACACUUUGGACUUGUUUGUUUGUUUGCUUGUUUGUUUUAAG
This 2667-nucleotide long non-coding RNA is filed under the name Homo sapiens (human). RNAcentral describes it as "HSALNT0300958". Lineage: Eukaryota; Metazoa; Chordata; Mammalia; Primates; Hominidae. The record is from RNAcentral.